RNAcentral lists this ribosomal RNA (433 nucleotides) under uncultured bacterium. RNAcentral describes it as "partial 16S ribosomal RNA". It matches the Rfam family "Bacterial small subunit ribosomal RNA", at positions 29 to 507 of the family's 1533-position model. The record is from RNAcentral.
AACGAACGCUGGCGGCAUGCCUAACACAUGCAAGUCGAACGAGACCUUCGGGUCUAGUGGCGCACGGGUGCGUAACGCGUGGGAACCUGCCCUUAGGUUCGGAAUAACUCCCCGAAAGGGGUGCUAAUACCGGAUAAUGUCUUCGGACCAAAGAUUUAUCGCCUUUGGAUGGGCCCGCGUUGGAUUAGCUAGUUGGUAGGGUAAAAGCCUACCAAGGCGACGAUCCAUAGCUGGUCUGAGAGGAUGAUCAGCCACACUGGGACUGAGACACGGCCCAGACUCCUACGGGAGGCAGCAGUGGGGAAUAUUGGACAAUGGGCGAAAGCCUGAUCCAGCAAUGCCGCGUGAGUGAUGAAGGACUUAGGGUUGUAAAGCUCUUUUAACCGGGAUGAUAAUGACAGUACCGGGAGAAUAAGCUCCGGCUAACUCCGUG